RNAcentral lists this ribosomal RNA (264 nucleotides) under uncultured Lachnospiraceae bacterium. Its description in RNAcentral is "partial 16S ribosomal RNA". It matches the Rfam family "Bacterial small subunit ribosomal RNA", at positions 74 to 339 of the family's 1533-position model. The record is from RNAcentral. Lineage: Bacteria; Bacillati; Bacillota; Clostridia; Lachnospirales; Lachnospiraceae.
ACUGAUUAUUUUGUGACUGAGUGGCGGACGGGUGAGUAACGCGUGGGUGACCUGCCCCAUACCGGGGGAUAACAGCUGGAAACGGCUGCUAAUACCGCAUAAGCGCACAGCAUCGCAUGAUGCAGUGUGAAAAACUCCGGUGGUAUAAGAUGGACCCGCGUCUGAUUAGCUAGUUGGCAGGGCAACGGCCCACCAAGGCGACGAUCAGUAGCCGACCUGAGAGGGUGACCGGCCACAUUGGGACUGAGACACGGCCCAAACUCC